CCGCGUGGGGGAUGAAGGUCUUCGGAUUGUAAACCCCUGUCGAACGGGACGAAAGACUCGGGAGCUAAUCAUCUCGAGAGUGACGGUACCGUUAAAGGAAGCCACGGCUAACUCUGUGCCAGCAGCCGCGGUAAUACAGAGGUGGCAAGCGUUGUUCGGAAUUACUGGGCGUAAAGGGCGCGUAGGCGGCCAUCUAAGUCAGACGUGAAAUCCCCCGGCUUAACCUGGGAACUGCGUCUGAUACUGGACGGCUUGAGUAUGGGAGAGGGAUGUAGAAUUCCAGGUGUAGCGGUGAAAUGCGUAGAUAUCUGGAGGAAUACCGGUGGCGAAGGCGGCAUCCUGGACCAUUACUGACGCUGAGGCGCGAAAGCUAGGGGAGCAAACGGGAUUAGAUACCCCGGUAGUCCUAGCCCUAAACGAUGAAUGCUUGGUGUGGCGGGUAUCGAUCCCUGCCGUGCCGAAGCUAACGCAUUAAGCAUUCCGCCUGGGGAGUACGGUCGCAAGGCUG
RNAcentral lists this ribosomal RNA (508 nucleotides) under uncultured Acidobacteriota bacterium. Its description in RNAcentral is "bacterial SSU rRNA". It matches the Rfam family "Bacterial small subunit ribosomal RNA", at positions 397 to 896 of the family's 1533-position model. The record is from RNAcentral. Lineage: Bacteria; Pseudomonadati; Acidobacteriota.